This 468-nucleotide ribosomal RNA is filed under the name uncultured bacterium. RNAcentral's name for it is "partial 16S ribosomal RNA". It matches the Rfam family "Bacterial small subunit ribosomal RNA", at positions 28 to 507 of the family's 1533-position model. The record is from RNAcentral.
GACGAACGCUGGCGGCGUGCUUAACACAUGCAAGUCGAACGGAAAGGCCCUGCUUUUGUGGGGUGCUCGAGUGGCGAACGGGUGAGUAACACGUGAGUAACCUGCCCUUGACUUUGGGAUAACUUCAGGAAACUGGGGCUAAUACCGGAUAGGAGCUCCUGCUGCAUGGUGGGGGUUGGAUAGUUUCGGCGGUUGGGGAUGGACUCGCGGCUUAUCAGCUUGUUGGUGGGGUAGUGGCUUACCAAGGCUUUGACGGGUAGCCGGCCUGAGAGGGUGACCGGCCACAUUGGGACUGAGAUACGGCCCAGACUCCUACGGGAGGCAGCAGUGGGGAAUAUUGCACAAUGGGCGGAAGCCUGAGGCAGCAACGCCGCGUGCGGGAUGACGGCCUUCGGGUUGUAAACCGCUUUCGCCUGUGACGAAGCGUGAGUGACGGUAAUGGGUAAAGAAGCACCGGCUAACUACGUG